This 379-nucleotide unclassified non-coding RNA is filed under the name uncultured Oligoflexales bacterium. Its description in RNAcentral is "contains 16S-23S intergenic spacer region". Lineage: Bacteria; Pseudomonadati; Bdellovibrionota; Oligoflexia; Oligoflexales. The record is from RNAcentral.
UCCGUGUUAACCACGGCAGUCUCUCUAGAGAGCCCAACUGAAUGCUGGCAACUAAAGAUAAGGGUUGCGCUCGUUGCGGGACUUAACCCAACAUGUCACCACACGAGCUGACGACAGCCAUGCAGCACCUGUCUCCUGGUCGGAUUGCUCCGAACCCUGUGUCUCCACAGGUAGCCAGGGAUGUCAAACCCAGGUAAGGUUCUUCGCGUUGCUUCGAAUUAAACCACAUGAUCCACCGCUUGUGCGGGCCCCCGUCAAUUCCUUUGAGUUUUAGUCUUGCGACCGUACUUCCCAGGCGGGGUACUUAUUGCGUUAGCUCCGACUCGGCGGGGGUCAAGACCCACCAAGUCUAGUACCCAUCGUUUACAGCGUGGACUAC